CAGAUGCCUUCCGCACCGACCUACGGGGUCCCCGGGAAGACAUCUUUCCGUAAGUGGUCUGGCACACAGAAGCGCCGUCACCUUCACACACGGAAGUGACGCGUCAAACGUCCUGGUUCCUGGACAGUGAAAUAUGGCGGCCUGGGGUCGACGGGGAGCCUUCCUCACACGGAGACACAAGUCAACCUUCAGGAGGUACAUUGAAGGUGGGUCGCCUGCUUUUGAAAUACCUCUUUUGGCAUUUUCACUGUUGCGCGUGGGGACAUUACAACACGUCGCAAUAUUGUAAGUCUCGCUUCCACUUUCGUAAGUAGACUUACUCAAAAGCUCAUUCAGAUAGAAGACGCACUGGUGGGAAAUACAGUGGUACAUGCAAGGCAUUCGAGCUAUUUGAACGAGUUGCAGCAGGAGCUUGAAUGGGUGUCCCAGUGUUGUGUCUGGAGGAGCUCAGACAACUCGCCAUUGGAAGCGAAAAUUGCUGAGAACUGACAGCCUCUGGGAAAUGCCGACAGCAGACAGCCUUACUAAAUUGGGCGUUUAUCAGUGGGUGCCUAGAAGGUGUCCGGGUCUUCAGCAGAGCCGGUUUUGUGUUGGGUACCCAGCGACGUGAUGCUGUCGGAAAGUAGGCACGAUGCGCAACAGUUAACUGAACGCAGCUGAAUCUGAGCCUUUCUUCCAUGAUUAGGUGGGUGCAGCUGGCACAGGCAUGAAGCGUAACAGCAAGCAAAAGGAAGCUGAUUCUGAGCAAUUCUUCCACGACUGGUCAAGCCUUCUGCUGGAAGUGGUCCGAAACAAUAACCAACUGCGACCGCAUCGUCUGGCCAGCGAGAACAUCCACAAAAGCCACUACCGGCUACCAGCAGUGUCCAGCCGGAUGAAAUGGAGAAAAAAGACUGCUCGGUGCCUUGCCAUCUCCUGACUUGAAAGGAGUAAAUCACGGGUCUAGCUCGACCUUGACUGUUUCCGCCUUAGUGUUCGUUUUUCCUCGUAGACCAGUUAUGUACUUCUUUGUUCGGAUGGUACUCGUGCCCUUGCUCUUCAUUGUGUUCUGUUCUUUUUCUUUGAGCGGGUAGACCUGUGUCUCCUGUUCCAUACGGCAGUGCGAGCUUUUCGUCUGUGAGCUCCUUGUUGUCCUGUUGAGAAUAUCAGCUACUUUUAGGGCUCUGCGCCUCAACUCCCAUUCGUUCCAGUGGUACGACGUGUCUCUCUCAAGCGUUUCGAAAUGUACUGGAGUCAUAACCGCAGCGUCGGCAUUCCGAGGCUCGUGAAGCAAAAGGAACAGCUGGUCGGCUGUGGCAGUGUCUUUACCAAAACGUGGUGUUUCUUGCUUCAGACGUGUGGCGAUAUUUCGCUGGAGCUUGAGGAUAUUCCGCAGGCUGGACCUGAU
RNAcentral lists this long non-coding RNA (1387 nucleotides) under Toxoplasma gondii VEG. Lineage: Eukaryota; Apicomplexa; Conoidasida; Eucoccidiorida; Sarcocystidae. The record is from RNAcentral.